GGUGAACAUGAGGGAGAUUACAUUAACAGGAAAUCCUUCCACAGCAUCAAUGUUCAGAUGAUCUGUGAUGCUGACUGCCUUGUGAGCAAUUUAGAGGCAAAGUGGCCUGGCUCAGUGCAUGACUCUAGAGUCUUUCGGGCUAGUCCAAUUUACGAGAGACUUUCACAAGGUGAAUUCUC
Melanotaenia boesemani (Boeseman's rainbowfish) is the source of this 179-nucleotide long non-coding RNA. RefSeq lists it as uncharacterized. Lineage: Eukaryota; Metazoa; Chordata; Actinopteri; Atheriniformes; Melanotaeniidae. The transcript is spliced from 3 exons. The record is from RefSeq and is a predicted model, not a curated record.